This 61-nucleotide transfer RNA is filed under the name Anaeromyces robustus. It matches the Rfam family "tRNA". From Rfam's summary of the family: Transfer RNA (tRNA) molecules are approximately 80 nucleotides in length. Their secondary structure includes four short double-helical elements and three loops (D, anti-codon, and T loops). Further hydrogen bonds mediate the characteristic L-shaped molecular structure. tRNAs have two regions of fundamental functional importance: the anti-codon, which is responsible for specific mRNA codon recognition, and the 3' end, to which the tRNAs corresponding amino acid is attached (by aminoacyl-tRNA synthetases). tRNAs cope with the degeneracy of the genetic code in two manners: having more than one tRNA (with a specific anti-codon) for a particular amino acid; and 'wobble' base-pairing, i.e. permitting non-standard base-pairing at the 3rd anti-codon position. Lineage: Eukaryota; Fungi; Neocallimastigomycota; Neocallimastigomycetes; Neocallimastigales; Neocallimastigaceae. The record is from Rfam by way of RNAcentral.
GCUCGCGUAGCCUAAUCGGAUAGGGCGUCAGAUAUUGCGGGUUCAAGUCCCGCCGUGAGUG